GCCAUAGCAUAUGAUUUACAUCAUUUUCAUCCUUAUCAAACCAUUCAGUGACCCCUCGUGUCCUGUGGAUGGGGGCAUUAUCAUCCUGGAAGAGACCACCUCCAUCAGGACAGAGAUGUCUCAUCAUAGGAUAAAGAUGCAGUUUGAGGUUUACAAGGAACCAUGAAUUCUCCGGCAUAUCAACAACGCUCUGGUACGCUCUGUCAU
This is a long non-coding RNA of Lampris incognitus (smalleye Pacific opah), 207 nucleotides long. RefSeq lists it as uncharacterized. The record is from RefSeq and is a predicted model, not a curated record. NCBI's taxonomy places the organism in Eukaryota, Metazoa, Chordata, Actinopteri, Lampriformes, Lampridae. The transcript has 3 exons.